This 144-nucleotide ribosomal RNA is filed under the name Ledella ultima. RNAcentral describes it as "partial small subunit ribosomal RNA". The record is from RNAcentral. Lineage: Eukaryota; Metazoa; Mollusca; Bivalvia; Nuculanida sp.; Nuculanidae.
UUUAAUUAUCAUAUAUAAAAGUGAAAAUACAAAAUAUAAAUUAAUUUUAGUUGGGGCAACUGGAAGGGAUAAAAAUCUUUUAUUAAAUCAUUUAUAGUAAUAUUUAUAUUUAUGAUCCAAAUUAGUUAAUUUUGAACUUAGAAU